GGACACUUUGUUAGUACUUUUUCUUUCUGCCAAACGUCUCCAGUGAAAAACGGUCAGAACCACAUCCAAAAUACUCCUCCUAAGGAAGAGGUCAUAUCUCUCUUCUCUGGCACGAGAACACGCGGCUGUGUGGUAGGGAAAGCCAACCCUUACUGCAGCACGGUCCUGCACAGAAGCCCCGAGAGGGGAAGCCUUGCUCCCACCGCGAGCAGACCGGGAGCGCUGCGGGACGCGAACCCGGGCGCGGGGGAUGGCGGAGCGCCCGUCGGGCGGCGGCUCCAGCCGGGGGAGCCCAGCGGGGACGCACUGCCGUGUGCGCGCAGGUACGUGCAUGUGCACACGCGGAGGGUGCGCGCGGCCUCGCGUACGUGUGGCCGCGGAGGGAGGGAGGGAGGGAGGGAGGGAGGGGAAAAGCGAGAGGGGGAGGGCGGGGGCUGCGUGCGCACCCCGCGGGGCGGCCGCGCGGUUGCAUCAGACGGGGCGGGUCGGGACCGGGGCCGCGCUCCGCCCUGCCCCUGCCCCUCCGCAGGCCCGGCCCGGCCCCGCCUGGCCGGCGGAGCGCUGCCGGGCUCACGAAAGCAGCGAGGCAAGGUUGCAUCCAGCCGCUGGACCAAGAAAUGUUACGGCGGAAACAGGGAGAGGGGGAAAUACAGUUUAAAAAUUUGCCCCCGCCGCGCCUCUAGUUCCCCAUCAGGCUGCGGCCGUGCAAGCGCCACAAGAGGCCCCCGAGAGAGGGGGCGUGGGGCGGGCCCGAGUCGUAGCCGCCUUGCCCCCUCGCUCUGGGCAGGGCGGCGGGAGAUGUUCCCCACUCUUGCUGCGGCCCCGUGCACCCUCCCCCGGGGGUCACCGAGGAGGAGGCGCGGGCGGGCGCGGCGUUCCCCCGGCGCUAUUGCGAUAGCGGCGGGCGCGGCCCCCGGCGGGAGCGACGGUCCUCGGCUGCCGCGCAGGCGGAGAAGCGGAAUCGGUCGGCCGCGGCAACAAGGACAGCAGCGACGAAAAAGAAAAAAAAAGUUUCAAAUAAUAGCGGGGGGCGGGGGGCGGUUAGAGGGCACAUCCCAACCCUAA
RNAcentral lists this long non-coding RNA (1065 nucleotides) under Parus major (Great Tit). RNAcentral describes it as "lncRNA (ENSPMJG00000001194.1)". The record is from RNAcentral. Lineage: Eukaryota; Metazoa; Chordata; Aves; Passeriformes; Paridae.